This 542-nucleotide small RNA is filed under the name Pan troglodytes (chimpanzee). RNAcentral describes it as "retained intron". The record is from RNAcentral. Lineage: Eukaryota; Metazoa; Chordata; Mammalia; Primates; Hominidae.
AACAAAAAAAUAUUAAGUGCUUGUGUCAUAUCCUUAGAUAAGUUAGGUGGUUGUGUUCUGUCCUAAGAAAAGAUGUGAUUCAUAAGGCAGAUCACAUUUUUGUUUCACUUGAGAACUUUGAUUCACUACAUUCUUCCCUUGGCAGCUAAAGCUGUUGAUGGAUACGUGAAGCCACAGAUCAAGCAAGUGGUCCCUGAGUUUGUGAACGCAUCUGCAGAUGCCGGGGGUGGCAGCGCCACGUACAUGGACCAGGCCCCCUCCCCAGCUGUGUGUCCCCAGGCUCACUAUAACAUGUACCCACAGAAGUAGGUGGCAUUCUCGUGGGGGUCCACAGGGGAGGAACUGGGGGCUUGGCCCCAGGCUGGACCCCUGGAGGGCUGGGGUCAAAGGAAUCCAGAGCUCCUCUAGGUCUGAGACCACACAGCCCUGGCCCGGGCUCUGGCCUUUGGGAGGGAGAGAUUUGACCAGAAGUGAUUGGUGGUUUAGAGUCGGGUUGGGCAAAUGUCAUCUGUUCCCCUCUCUCAAUAUGGAGAUUUUUCUUG